Molecule: unclassified non-coding RNA, 352 nt
Filed under: soil metagenome
Description: partial contains 5.8S ribosomal RNA, internal transcribed spacer 2, and large subunit ribosomal RNA
Rfam family: 5.8S ribosomal RNA (bases 1-120)
Source: RNAcentral
GAUGAAGAACGUAGCGAAAUGCGAUAAGUAAUGUGAAUUGCAGAAUUCAGUGAAUCAUCGAGUCUUUGAACGCACAUUGCGCCCGCCAGUAUUCUGGCGGGCAUGCCUGUUCGAGCGUCAUUACAACCCUCAGGCCCCCGGGCCUGGCGUUGGGGAUCGGCGGAGCCCCCCGUGGGCACACGCCGUCCCCCAAAUACAGUGGCGGUCCCGCCGCAGCUUCCAUCGCGUAGUAGCUAACACCUCGCGACUGGAGAGCGGCGCGGCCACGCCGUAAAACACCCAACUCUUCUGAAGUUGACCUCGAAUCAGGUAGGAAUACCCGCUGAACUUAAGCAUAUCAAUAAGCGGAGGA